UUCCUGGCAGAUUAAAACUGUGUGCCGGACCGAGACUCGAACUCGGGAGCCGAGUUCGAGUCUCAGUCCGGCACACAGUUUUAAUCUGCCAGGAAGUUUCAAUCCAUCUGCUUGUUUAACACCAGUCUUGAUCUCAAAUUCU
Small nucleolar RNA from Schistocerca americana (American grasshopper), 142 nucleotides. NCBI's taxonomy places the organism in Eukaryota, Metazoa, Arthropoda, Insecta, Orthoptera, Acrididae. The record is from RefSeq and is a predicted model, not a curated record.